RNAcentral lists this ribosomal RNA (233 nucleotides) under uncultured bacterium. RNAcentral's name for it is "partial 16S ribosomal RNA". It matches the Rfam family "Bacterial small subunit ribosomal RNA", at positions 1268 to 1500 of the family's 1533-position model. The record is from RNAcentral.
CAAAACUUCAAAAAUAGGUCUCAGUUCGGACUGUAGGCUGCAACUCGCCUACACGAAGUUGGAAUUGCUAGUAAUCGUGGAUCAGCAUGCCACGGUGAAUACGUUCCCGGGUCUUGUACACACCGCCCGUCACACCAUGGGAGCUGGUAACACCCGAAGUCAGUAGUCUAACCGCAAGGAGGACGCUGCCGAAGGUGGGAUUAGCGACUGGGGUGAAGUCGUAACAAGGUAUC